Molecule: long non-coding RNA, 490 nt
Organism: Austrofundulus limnaeus
Lineage: Eukaryota; Metazoa; Chordata; Actinopteri; Cyprinodontiformes; Rivulidae
Exons: 3
Source: RefSeq, a predicted model, not a curated record
UGAACUAGGGCGAGAGACAUGGACGGAGGAGAAAAACAUUUGCUGGACGAGCCGAAGCUCGAGGCGAAAAGGAGGAGAAAGAAGUUCACAAAGUAAGAAGACUGAGACUUGGUUCCAUGGACAAAAAAGCUUGAAAGAUUCUAAGCUGAAGCGGAGCGACAAAAACACGAGGGGCGAAGGACGAGCGAGAGACACGAGGAGCUAGGACGUGCUACAGCUAAGCUAGCUGGCAGAUUACAAUGCUCUCAAUGCUUUCUGGAAUCGUGAGAUUGCACCGCUCUCAAUGUUUUCUGGAGUCAGGUGGUGAAUCAGGUGGAACUUUUUGAAUGGUCUGGAGCCGGCAGUCUGGACCAGUGAAGGACUGAGCCCUUCAACACCUGCAGAUGACACCAUCCUGCAUGCUGCACAGAGAUUGAGAUGCCAAGAAAACUACUCAGAGCUUCUGGAUCACAGUGCCCAACACUCCCACCAUCCACCCAUCUGCCCAGGU